This 292-nucleotide ribosomal RNA is filed under the name uncultured prokaryote. RNAcentral describes it as "partial 16S ribosomal RNA". It matches the Rfam family "Bacterial small subunit ribosomal RNA", at positions 505 to 796 of the family's 1533-position model. The record is from RNAcentral.
GUGUCAGCCGCCGCGGUAAUACGGAGGGGGCAAGCGUUAAUCGGAAUUACUGGGCGUAAAGCGUGCGUAGGCGGCUUGGUAAGCCGGUUGUGAAAGCCCCGGGCUCAACCUGGGAAUGGCAUCCGGAACUGUCAGGCUAGAGUGCAGGAGAGGAAGGUAGAAUUCCCGGUGUAGCGGUGAAAUGCGUAGAGAUCGGGAGGAAUACCAGUGGCGAAGGCGGCCUUCUGGACUGACACUGACGCUGAGGUACGAAAGCGUGGGUAGCAAACAGGAUUAGAAACCCCGGUAGUCC